GACGAACGCUGGCGGCGUGCCUAAUACAUGCAAGUAGAACGCUGAAGGAGGAGCUUGCUCUUCUGGAUGAGUUGCGAACGGGUGAGUAACGCGUAGGUAACCUGCCUGGUAGCGGGGGAUAACUAUUGGAAACGAUAGCUAAUACCGCAUAACAGUAGAUGUUGCAUGACAUUUACUUAAAAGGUGCAAUUGCAUCACUACCAGAUGGACCUGCGUUGUAUUAGCUAGUUGGUGGGGUAACGGCUCACCAAGGCGACGAUACAUAGCCGACCUGAGAGGGUGAUCGGCCACACUGGGACUGAGACACGGCCCAGACUCCUACGGGAGGCAGCAGUAGGGAAUCUUCGGCAAUGGACGGAAGUCUGACCGAGCAACGCCGCGUGAGGGAAGAAGGUUUUCGGAUCGUAAAGCUCGGUUGUAAGAGAAGAACGAGUGUGAGAGUGGAAAGUUCACACUGUGACGGUAUCUUACCAGAAAGGGACGGCUAACUACGUG
RNAcentral lists this ribosomal RNA (495 nucleotides) under uncultured bacterium. Its description in RNAcentral is "partial 16S ribosomal RNA". It matches the Rfam family "Bacterial small subunit ribosomal RNA", at positions 28 to 507 of the family's 1533-position model. The record is from RNAcentral.